GAUGAAGAACGUAGCGAAAUGCGAUAAUUAAUGUGAAUUGCAGAAUUUAGUGAAUCAUCGAAUCUUUGAACGCACAUUGCGCCCCUUGGUAUUCCAUGGGGCAUGCCUGUUCGAGCGUCAUUUGUACCUUCAAGCUUUGCUUCGUGUUGGGUGUUUGUCUCGCCUUUGCGUGUAGACUCGCCUUAAAAUAAUUGGCAGCCGGCGUAUUGAUUUCGGAGCGCAGUACAUCUCGCGCUUUGCACUCAUAACGACAGCGUCCAAAAGUACAUUUUACACUCUUGACCUCGGAUCAGGUAGGGAUACCCGCUGAACUUAAGCAUAUCAAUAAGCGGAGGA
This 336-nucleotide unclassified non-coding RNA is filed under the name soil metagenome. Its description in RNAcentral is "partial contains 5.8S ribosomal RNA, internal transcribed spacer 2, and large subunit ribosomal RNA". The stretch from base 1 to 120 matches the Rfam family "5.8S ribosomal RNA", at positions 35 to 154 of the family's 154-position model. The record is from RNAcentral.